AACUCCAAGCGGUGGAUCACUCGGCUCAUGGGUCGAUGAAGAACGCAGCAAACUGUGCGUCAUCGUGUGUACAUCGACAUUUUGAACGCAUAUCGUUAUGUUACUUUAAUUAAUUUUAUAGUGCUGCUUGGACUACAUAUGGUUGAGGGUUG
This 152-nucleotide ribosomal RNA is filed under the name Drosophila yakuba. RNAcentral describes it as "5.8S ribosomal RNA". The stretch from base 1 to 126 matches the Rfam family "5.8S ribosomal RNA". Rfam says of the family: 5.8S ribosomal RNA (5.8S rRNA) is a component of the large subunit of the eukaryotic ribosome. Lineage: Eukaryota; Metazoa; Arthropoda; Insecta; Diptera; Drosophilidae. The record is from RNAcentral.